UACAGGGGGUGCAAGCGUUGUUCGGAAUUAUUGGGCGUAAAGCGCGUGUAGGCGGCUUUGCAAGUCGGGUGUGAAAGCCCUCAGCUUAACUGAGGAAGUGCGCCCGAAACUGCAGAGCUUGAAUACCGGAGAGGAUGGCGGAAUUCCCCAAGUAGAGGUGAAAUUCGUAGAUAUGGGGAGGAACACCGGUGGCGAAGGCGGCCAUCUGGACGGCUAUUGACGCUGAGACGCGAAAGCGUGGGGAGCAAACAGG
RNAcentral lists this ribosomal RNA (253 nucleotides) under uncultured bacterium. RNAcentral's name for it is "partial 16S ribosomal RNA". It matches the Rfam family "Bacterial small subunit ribosomal RNA", at positions 524 to 776 of the family's 1533-position model. The record is from RNAcentral.